UACAGAGGUCUCAAGCGUUGUUCGGAUUCAUUGGGCGUAAAGGGCGCGUAGGCGGCCUUCUAAGUCGGACGUGAAAUCCCUCGGCUUAACCGAGGAACUGCGUCCGAUACUGAAAGGCUUGAAUCCGGGAGAGGGAUGUGGAAUUCCAGGUGUAGCGGUGAAAUGCGUAGAUAUCUGGAGGAACACCGGUGGCGAAGGCGGCAUCCUGGACCGGUAUUGACGCUGAGGCGCGAAAGCUAGGGGAGCAAACGGG
Molecule: ribosomal RNA, 253 nt
Filed under: uncultured bacterium
Lineage: Bacteria
Description: partial 16S ribosomal RNA
Rfam family: Bacterial small subunit ribosomal RNA
Source: RNAcentral